This 562-nucleotide ribosomal RNA is filed under the name uncultured Pseudozyma. Its description in RNAcentral is "LSU rRNA". It matches the Rfam family "Eukaryotic large subunit ribosomal RNA", at positions 114 to 657 of the family's 3401-position model. The record is from RNAcentral. Lineage: Eukaryota; Fungi; Basidiomycota; Ustilaginomycetes; Ustilaginales; Ustilaginaceae.
AUUGAAAGCUGGCGUCUUCGGCGUCCGCAUUGUAAUCUCAAGAAGUGUUUUCCGCUUCGGACCAUGCCUAAGUCCCUUGGAAAAGGGCAUCAUAGAGGGUGAUAAUCCCGUACAUGGCAUGGAGCGCCCGAAGCUUUGUGAUACGCUUUCUACGAGUCGAGUUGUUUGGGAAUGCAGCUCAAAAUGGGUGGUAAAUGCCAUCUAAGGCUAAAUAUUGGGGAGAGACCGAUAGCGAACAAGUACAGUGAUGGAAAGAUGAAAAGAACUUUGAAAAGAGAGUUAAACAGUACGUGAAAUUGCCAAAAGGGAAGGGUAGGAGGUCAGAGAUGCGUCUUGGGAUUCAGCCUUGCUCUUGCAUGGUGUUUUUCCCAAGUUGCAGGCCAACGUCGGUUUUGGGCACUGGAGAAGGGUAGGAGGAACGUGGCACCUCUCGGGGUGUGUUAUAGCCUCCUACUGGAUACAGCGACCGAGACCGAGGAACGCAGCGUACUCGUAAGAGCGGGCCUUUUGGCACCUUUACGCUUAGGGCGUUGGCAUAAUGGCCCUCUACCACCCGUCUUGA